CUUGAAUAUCUAUAAGAGGUCCAGCCUGCCCAGUGACUCUGUUCAACGGCCGCGGUAUCCUAACCGUGCGAAGGUAGCGUAAUCACUUGUUCUUUAAAUGAGGACUAGUAUGAAUGGCACCACGAGGGUUAUACUGUCUCCUUUUUCUAAUCAGUGAAACUAAUCUCCCCGUGAAGAAGCGGGGAUUAAAAUAUAAGACGAGAAGACCCUAUGGAGCUUUAAACUUAAUAACAAGUACUACCCUUUAUUUAACUUUCAGAACAUAUACCUUUAUUCUAGUAUUAUGAUUAUUAGUUUUAGGUUGGGGUGACCGCGGAGCAAAAAUCAACCUCCACAUUGAACGGAACUCAUUCCUGAGCAAAAAGCCACGACUUUAAGCACCAACAAAUUGACAUCAAUUGACCCAAUAUUUUGAUCAACGAAC
Molecule: ribosomal RNA, 424 nt
Filed under: Trachycephalus cunauaru group sp. ABGD cluster 17
Lineage: Eukaryota; Metazoa; Chordata; Amphibia; Anura; Hylidae
Description: partial large subunit ribosomal RNA
Rfam family: Bacterial large subunit ribosomal RNA
Source: RNAcentral